RNAcentral lists this ribosomal RNA (554 nucleotides) under uncultured bacterium. RNAcentral's name for it is "partial 16S ribosomal RNA". It matches the Rfam family "Bacterial small subunit ribosomal RNA", at positions 355 to 900 of the family's 1533-position model. The record is from RNAcentral.
UAGGGAAUCUUCCACAAUGGACGCAAGUCUGAUGGAGCAACGCCGCGUGAGUGAAGAAGGUUUUCGGACCGUAAAGCUCUGUUGUUGGUGAAGAAGGAUAGAGGUAGUAACUGGCCUUUAUUUGACGGUAAUCAACCAGAAAGUCACGGCUAACUACGUGCCAGCAGCCGCGGUAAUACGUAGGUGGCAAGCGUUGUCCGGAUUUAUUGGGCGUAAAGCGAGCGCAGGCGGAAGAAUAAGUCUGAUGUGAAAGCCCUCGGCUUAACCGAGGAAUUGCAUCGGAAACUGUUUUCUUGAGUGCAGAAGAGGAGAGUAGAACUCCAUGUGUAGCGGUGGAAUGCGUAGAUAUAUGGAAGAAUACCAGUGGCGAAGGCGGCUCUCUGGUCUGCAACUGACGCUGAGGCUCGAAAGCAUGGGUAACGAACAGGAUUAGAUACCCUGGUAGUCCAUGCCGUAAACGAUGAGUGCUAAGUGUUGGGAGGCUUCCGCCUCUCAGUGCUGCAGCUAACGCAUUAAGCACUCCGCCUGGGGGAGUACGACCGCAAGGUUGAAAC